UACGGAGGGUGCGAGCGUUGUCCGGAAUUAUUGGGCGUAAAGGGCUCGUAGGCGGUCUGUCACGUCGGGAGUGAAAACACGGGGCUUAACCCCGUGCCUGCUUCCGAUACGGGCAGACUAGAGGUAUGCAGGGGAGAACGGAAUUCCUGGUGUAGCGGUGAAAUGCGCAGAUAUCAGGAGGAACACCGGUGGCGAAGGCGGUUCUCUGGGCAUUACCUGACGCUGAGGAGCGAAAGUGUGGGGAGCGAACAGG
Molecule: ribosomal RNA, 253 nt
Filed under: uncultured bacterium
Lineage: Bacteria
Description: partial 16S ribosomal RNA
Rfam family: Bacterial small subunit ribosomal RNA
Source: RNAcentral